GGAAUAUUGGUCAAUGGGCGAUGGCCUGAACCAGCCAAGUAGCGUGCGGGAUGACGGCCCUAUGGGUUGUAAACCGCUUUUGCAGGGGAAUAAAGUGUGGUACGCGUACCGUUUUGUAUGUACCCUGAGAAUAAGGACCGGCUAAUUCCGUGCCAGCAGCCGCGGUAAUACGGAAGGUCCGGGCGUUAUCCGGAUUUAUUGGGUUUAAAGGGAGCGCAGGCUGAUUAUUAAGCGUGACGUGAAAUGUAGCCGCUCAACGGCUGAACUGCGUCGCGAACUGGUAGUCUUGAGUGAGUUCGAUGUUGGCGGAAUUCGUGGUGUAGCGGUGAAAUGCUUAGAUAUCACGAAGAACUCCGAUUGCGAAGGCAGCCAACAAGGCCUUUACUGACGCUAAAGCUCGAAGGUGCGGGUAUCGAACA
Molecule: ribosomal RNA, 419 nt
Filed under: uncultured Prevotella sp.
Lineage: Bacteria; Pseudomonadati; Bacteroidota; Bacteroidia; Bacteroidales; Prevotellaceae
Description: bacterial SSU rRNA
Rfam family: Bacterial small subunit ribosomal RNA
Source: RNAcentral